Long non-coding RNA from Oreochromis niloticus (Nile tilapia), 255 nucleotides. RefSeq lists it as uncharacterized. NCBI's taxonomy places the organism in Eukaryota, Metazoa, Chordata, Actinopteri, Cichliformes, Cichlidae. The transcript has 2 exons. The record is from RefSeq and is a predicted model, not a curated record.
ACUGUUGCUUUGUGGAGCGGUGACACUGAUGACUAGGACAGUGUUGUCAGAGCUGUAGCAUAAAAAGAAGUCUCAGAGGAAUCCGUGUCCUUUUUCUUUCUGCUGCCUCCACAGUUCUGUUCUCUCCUUUCUGCAUGACCCUCAGCUGCACACAGCUUUAGAGAGUUUUACUCAGCAAAGACGUCUUUACCAACUGGUGCUGCAGACGAGUGCCUCGUGAUUGAACAACUGGAACCAACCACUCAUAAGUCAAGG